Molecule: long non-coding RNA, 1281 nt
Organism: Puntigrus tetrazona (Sumatra barb)
Lineage: Eukaryota; Metazoa; Chordata; Actinopteri; Cypriniformes; Cyprinidae
Exons: 2
Source: RefSeq, a predicted model, not a curated record
GCGAGUUUGAUCUGUUUGUUCGUCUGUGUUUCAGAUAAAACAGGAGCUGGUCAAGUACGGUCUGCCGAACAGCGUCGAGCUGAAGUUAAGAAAAACGCAGAAGAUAAAUCCGUAAUUACAGCCUCCUUCAGGAAAAUGAAAACCGACAUAAUGAAUACAGGAUACUUCGUGAAGUAUGUGAACAAGUAUGUGCACGCUCUAGCUGCCCCAUUACAGAAAUUCAAAAAAUUUCCUUUAAAAUACCAUUACGAAUCCUUUUUGUGUGUUUUGGACAUUUUUCCAAUAGGAUUUAACCUCCCACCAAUAGAAUCCAUCACAUACCAGUACACAACAUUACAGUUUCCAUUAAAACCAAUACAAUUCCCAUUAUAACCACUAAACCCAUUACAUUUUCUGUUAUGUUUUGUUAUAACGCAUUAUGAGGUUUUUAUAAUGCAUUUAUUAUAUUGCCUUAAGAAUACCCUUAUAAUGUAUUAUAAACAUGGGCUUAAUAGAGUGUUUUGACCUUGAAGGCAUGUUAACCUGCUGUUUGGGAAAAUGCAAACCUUUUAUAACCUAUAUAAUAGGGGCGCUUUAAAGCUUUUUGCCUUUAAAUGAGUGCCAGUCAAAAAAAACUAAACAAAAACAACCAGAAGCCACCUACAUCUGAUAUGAAAAUACAAUGCAUUGAGUCUGCUGAGAAAUAAACAACCUUUACCAGCUUUACACAGGGUUGGCUUCAGAUGUACUAUAUGCAGGGCACCAUACCAGUAUAUACACCACCAAAAAUGCAAUAACGUAAUUUUUAAAGCAGACUUUGUCUUUAAAAAAGUCUUAAAGGAAUAGUUCGCCCCAAAACUGAAAAUGUUCACCCAUAUUGUACUCAUCCCGAAACCAUACGUGACUGGGUAAAAACACAGGUUCAUAAAGCAUAACAGAAGACACGCAUGAUACAAAAUGUUUUCUUUAGUGGACACAGUCAUACAAAGAUUACAUUACAUAAGUUAGAAAAAGUAAAAAAAUAAGUAUACCUAUGACAAACAUAUUUGAUGACCCUUUCAACAUUGCACCCAUAAAUGGAAAUUUCACCAUUUUUUUCAAAAGAGAAAUGUAAUUUUUUUCCCCCUUAAGAUUAGAGCCCAUAAGAACAAAAACGAACUAUACAACAAUUGCACUAUAUUACAAAUCACUAAUCACAGCUUUGUGUGAGAAGAAGGCUCCUCUUUACCAGAUAUAACUGGAUUUGUGAAACUGAUUGUUAUCUAAUUUUAUAAUAAUCAUUAAACUUGCUCACAUGAGAAA